UACGAAGGGAGCUAGCGUUGUUCGGAAUCACUGGGCGUAAAGCGCACGUAGGCGGAUUUGCCAGUCAGGGGUGAAAUCCCGGGGCUCAACCUCGGAACUGCCUUUGAUACAGCAAGUCUUGAGUUCGAGAGAGGUGGGUGGAAUUCCUAGUGUAGAGGUGAAAUUCGUAGAUAUUAGGAAGAACACCAGUGGCGAAGGCGGCUUACUGGUCCGGAACUGACGCUGAGGUGCGAAAGCGUGGGGAGCGA
Molecule: ribosomal RNA, 248 nt
Filed under: uncultured bacterium
Lineage: Bacteria
Description: partial 16S ribosomal RNA
Rfam family: Bacterial small subunit ribosomal RNA
Source: RNAcentral